This 458-nucleotide ribosomal RNA is filed under the name uncultured bacterium. Its description in RNAcentral is "partial 16S ribosomal RNA". It matches the Rfam family "Bacterial small subunit ribosomal RNA", at positions 338 to 795 of the family's 1533-position model. The record is from RNAcentral.
CCUACGGGUGGCAGCAGUGAGGAAUAUUGGUCAAUGGGCGAGAGCCUGAACCAGCCAAGUCGCGUGAGGGAGUACUGCCCUAUGGGUUGUAAACCUCUUUUGUCGGGGAGCAAAAGCCGGACGUGUCCGGCUGUGAGAGUACCCGAAGAAAAAGCAUCGGCUAACUCCGUGCCAGCAGCCGCGGUAAUACGGAGGAUGCGAGCGUUAUCCGGAUUUAUUGGGUUUAAAGGGUGCGCAGGCGGUUUUUUAAGUCAGCGGUAAAAUCGUGGGGCUCAACCCCAUCCAGCCGUUGAAACUGGGGAUCUAGAGUGUGCGAGAGGUAUGCGGAAUGCGGGGUGUAGCGGUGAAAUGCAUAGAUAUCACGCAGAACCCCGAUUGCGAAGGCAGCAUACCGGUGCACAACUGACGCUCAGGCACGAAAGCGUGGGUAUCGAACAGGAUUAGAUACCCUUGUAGUC